GCUUCAUGGUCGAGUCAUAAGGACACUUGCCUCUCAUCCUGGAGUCCCGGGUUCAAUCCCCGCCCGAGAAGCA
Molecule: transfer RNA, 73 nt
Filed under: Rhamnusium bicolor
Lineage: Eukaryota; Metazoa; Arthropoda; Insecta; Coleoptera; Cerambycidae
Description: tRNA-OTHER
Source: RNAcentral